RNAcentral lists this ribosomal RNA (398 nucleotides) under uncultured bacterium. RNAcentral describes it as "partial 16S ribosomal RNA". It matches the Rfam family "Bacterial small subunit ribosomal RNA", at positions 338 to 733 of the family's 1533-position model. The record is from RNAcentral.
CCUACGGGUGGCUGCAGUGAGGAAUAUUGGUCAAUGGACGAGAGUCUGAACCAGCCAAGUAGCGUGAAGGAUGACUGCCCUAUGGGUUGUAAACUUCUUUUAUAUGGGAAUAAAACGUUCCACGUGUGGGAUUUUGUAUGUACCAUAUGAAUAAGGAUCGGCUAACUCCGUGCCAGCAGCCGCGGUAAUACGGAGGAUCCGAGCGUUAUCCGGAUUUAUUGGGUUUAAAGGGAGCGUAGGUGGAGUGUUAAGUCAGUUGUGAAAGUUUGCGGCUCAACCGUAACACCGCCCCCCACCCUGGCAGUCUGGAGUACAGUAGAGGUGGGCGGAAUUCGUGGUGUAGCGGUGAAAUGCUUAGAUAUCACGAAGAACUCCGAUUGCGAAGGCAGUUCACUGGA